AUCCGCCACACUGGGACUGAGACACGGCCCAGACUCCUACGGGAGGCAGCAGUGGGGAAUAUUGGACAAUGGGCGCAAGCCUGAUCCAGCCAUGCCGCGUGUGUGAAGAAGGCCUUAUGGUUGUAAAGCACUUUAAGCGAGGAGGAGGCUACUGAAGUUAAUACCUUCAGAUAGUGGACGUUACUCGCAGAAUAAGCACCGGCUAACUCUGUGCCAGCAGCCGCGGUAAUACAGAGGGUGCAAGCGUUAAUCGGAUUUACUGGGCGUAAAGCGCGCGUAGGCGGCUAAUUAAGUCAAAUGUGAAAUCCCCGAGCUUAACUUGGGAAUUGCAUUCGAUACUGGUUAGCUAGAGUGUGGGAGAGGAUGGUAGAAUUCCAGGUGUAGCGGUGAAAUGCGUAGAGAUCUGGAGGAAUACCGAUGGCGAAGGCAGCCAUCUGGCCUAACACUGACGCUGAGGUGCGAAAGCAUGGGGAGCAAACAGGAUUAGAUACCCUGGUAGU
This 500-nucleotide ribosomal RNA is filed under the name Acinetobacter sp. MR522. RNAcentral's name for it is "bacterial SSU rRNA". It matches the Rfam family "Bacterial small subunit ribosomal RNA", at positions 303 to 794 of the family's 1533-position model. Lineage: Bacteria; Pseudomonadati; Pseudomonadota; Gammaproteobacteria; Moraxellales; Moraxellaceae. The record is from RNAcentral.